UCCCUAAUCCGCCAUUGUAAAAUAAUUGCCUUGAUGAAGUGAAUGGAGUUGACACAAGUCUUUCUGUCUCAGUGGCUCUGAGUAGAAGCUACUUCUCCCAUGCAUAGCUCCUUCUUCCACAGGGGAAAAUCAUUUUCCACAUUCCUCUUUUGAUAUAUUUCCUUGGUCUGUUUCACACAACUUCCUACUUUAGUCAGAAGUAUGUUUUGAGACUUGGUCUUUGAAAGCAAUGGAAGGGAAUAAAGAGGGGGUAAAAAAGAAAAUCUUCAAUAACCAGGCAGCGACCACAGAAACUACUGAUAAGAGUGGCAGUACAGUACAUGGACUUCUAUCGAGGUAAAGACAAAGACACAAAAUCAAGACAUAACGAAUUCAAAUGAGAUGUACAAAAGGUUUGCAAAUGUAAACAUGUCACUCCUUUAAAUGAAUAUUGUGUGGUAGUUUGCCUAGAAUUAAAUGCGUUUUCACAAAUUGUAGUGCAAGACAACCUGUCAAAAAGUCAAGGCAAGUAAAUAUUUCACUGUAUAUAUCUUGUGGUGUAUUUACAUCUAUUUUUUCUGACAAGUGUCACUGAGUCCAGGCUCACUGAGACCAUGAGAGCUGUUGAUCCCUUUGAGAGCCUUCUUUGUCGACUCUUCUUGAACCCCAUUCAACGGCAGUCAUACUCAUUGUCCUUGUGGCACAUAGAUGGGUAUCAAAAACUAAUUCAGUUGAGAUUUGUCAUUCACGGGGGCACCGAUGGCUACAGCAGAAAGAUAAUGUACCUCUGUGCCUCUAACAACAAUAGGCCUUCAACUGUUCAACAGACCUUGAUGGGAGCUCUUCAGAAGUUCAGUUUACCACACUGUGUGAAUGUCAGAGUAGAAAGAUUCAAGCUGGAACAUCCCCUGGACCCGUGGACCAGGCCCUGAGACAGAAUGAUUUUUAGAAAGUUGCAGACAUAAAUUGCAGCCAUGUGAACUCCUCCAUCUUGGGCCGCUGGAAGCUGUUGGCAUCUCCAAGAACAACUUAAAUCAGAUGUCAAGCGUUUAAGAGGAGUUGUUUCAGCCGGUGUACACAGCCAGAGGAUUGAGAGGCUUUGGCGUGAUCUGUUGCAGUCAGUGGCUUAUAAUUACCACACCAGGAGCCCUGGAUCCUGAUGAUGAGACCCACAUAUUGUGCCUGCAUUAUGUAACGCUGCCCAGGAUCAACAUGCACUUUAAUGUCUUCAGGCAGACUUGGGACUGACAUCGUGUUUCUUCUCCAGGAAACAGAUCACAGCAGCUUUGGAUCUCUGGGCAGUAAACAAGUGAAGAGCAACCAACUC
This is an RNA transcript of Thunnus maccoyii (southern bluefin tuna), 1306 nucleotides long. RefSeq lists it as uncharacterized. The record is from RefSeq and is a predicted model, not a curated record. The transcript is spliced from 4 exons. Lineage: Eukaryota; Metazoa; Chordata; Actinopteri; Scombriformes; Scombridae.